AACGAACGCUGGCGGCAUGCCUAACACAUGCAAGUCGAACGAGACCUUCGGGUCUAGUGGCGCACGGGUGCGUAACGCGUGGGAACCUGCCCUUAGGUUCGGAAUAACUCCCCGAAAGGGGUGCUAAUACCGGAUAAUGUCUUCGGACCAAAGAUUUAUCGCCUUUGGAUGGGCCCGCGUGGGAUUAGCUAGUUGGUAGGGUAAAAGCCUACCAAGGCGACGAUCCAUAGCUGGUCUGAGAGGAUGAUCAGCCACACUGGGACUGAGACACGGCCCAGACUCCUACGAGAGGCAGCAGUGGGGAAUAUUGUACAAUGGGCGAGAGCCUGAUCCAGCAAUGCCGCGUGAGUGAUGAAGGCCUUAGGGUUGUAAAGCUCUUUUACCCGGGAUGAUAAUGACAGUACCGGGAGAAUAAGCUCCGGCUAACUCCGUG
Molecule: ribosomal RNA, 433 nt
Filed under: uncultured bacterium
Lineage: Bacteria
Description: partial 16S ribosomal RNA
Rfam family: Bacterial small subunit ribosomal RNA
Source: RNAcentral